CAUAAGCGUAGAAUUUGAAUUGAAGUCAACAUUGGCUCUCUGUUUAUUUGCGGAUGACUGUGCUGUUAUUUUUCCAGCCUUUUUUUUUUUUAAAGAAGUGUACAUAAAGUUCUAAUCUGUGGGCUCUUGCUGUAAUGCUUGCCAUAGAUUUAUUGAGAGCCCCAAAAUAUUUUAACAAACAGCAUGGAAACAUAUUAUUGCCACGCUUUCUUCCCAGAGACGAUGACUCAAACUGUUUGGGAUGAAAGAUGCUUUGUUCUGAACUCCUGUUUAAAUAUGUGUGGGGUAUUGAUUAUAACAAUGUUUCCCGGAUGACCGUUGUUGGAAUAAGCAGCUCAGAUGAUGGCUGGAUGAGGUAUCGUAACUCGCCGAGACUGGAUCACUACUACCCCUCCUGUUAGCAGCUAAGUAUUAUUCAAUACAGUAUUUUGUUUCAAUAGCGUCAAAGACGAAUACUUAAUAUAAACAAGUACUUUAAAUUUCCUACAAUCAGGAAUUGGAACCCAAAAAAACAACGAAAAACUUUGAAUAUGAGAGGCUCAGCAGCCCUAUUUGAAGGCUUCCCAUUCAUCAUGUACAUAACACAGUUAGUGAUUGGCUGACAAGGGCUCACAGAUGUCACGCAACUUAUUAUUAGCUGACAGAUACAGUAGCUUAGCAGUUGGCAACAUAGUGCAGCUGUAGAAUAUUACACAGGAUGCAGCCUGGACUGUGAAAUGGAGUGAUGUGGAGAGUGGGCAUCAACCUGAACUAGGAGUCUCUUGAUAGUCCCACCCCUCCUACCCCACCCCUUUUAUUAAAACUUUCGACACAAGCACACACAAACACAAAAUAAUUACAACUUGCUGAAUUUCUAAGCAAAUUUCAUAAGGUUUGUUUUGUGUCAGCGUGGCUGCAUGCCCAGGGAGUAGUUCAUAGCAUUAAUACCACUGAUCUGAUAUUAUGUGCAUCCCCAGUUCUUGCUUUGCUAUGUUGCUAUGACUAUGACAGACUGCCCCAGGGCAGCUGGGGCUGCACAGGUUGUUUACCACCACUAGGAUGUGAUCGUGGAAAGAAUGAACAAUGAAUGGAA
Syngnathoides biaculeatus (alligator pipefish) is the source of this 1072-nucleotide long non-coding RNA. RefSeq lists it as uncharacterized. The transcript is spliced from 3 exons. The record is from RefSeq and is a predicted model, not a curated record. Lineage: Eukaryota; Metazoa; Chordata; Actinopteri; Syngnathiformes; Syngnathidae.